UACGUAGGGGGCUAGCGUUGUCCGGAUUUAUUGGGCGUAAAGCGCGUGUAGGCGGCCAGGUAGGUCCGUUGUGAAAACUCGAGGCUCAACCUCGAGACGUCGAUGGAAACCAUCUGGCUAGAGUCCGGAAGAGGAGAGUGGAAUUCCUGGUGUAGCGGUGUAAUGCGCAGAUAUCAAGAAGAACACCUAUGGCGAAGGCAGCUCUCUGGGACGGUACUGACGCUGAGACGCGAAAGCGUGGGGAGCGAACAGG
RNAcentral lists this ribosomal RNA (253 nucleotides) under uncultured bacterium. Its description in RNAcentral is "partial 16S ribosomal RNA". It matches the Rfam family "Bacterial small subunit ribosomal RNA", at positions 524 to 776 of the family's 1533-position model. The record is from RNAcentral.